Molecule: ribosomal RNA, 2899 nt
Filed under: Salinimonas iocasae
Lineage: Bacteria; Pseudomonadati; Pseudomonadota; Gammaproteobacteria; Alteromonadales; Alteromonadaceae
Description: Salinimonas sp. KX18D6 23S ribosomal RNA
Rfam family: Bacterial large subunit ribosomal RNA
Source: RNAcentral
GUUGUAUGGUUAAGUGACAAAGCGUAUACGGUGGAUGCCUUGGCAGUUAGAGGCGAUGAAGGACGUGUAAGUCUGCGAAAAGCUGUGGUGAGCUGACAAAACGCAUUUGAGCCACAGAUGUCCGAAUGGGGAAACCCACCUGUUUACAGGUAUCGUUGCAUGAAUACAUAGUGUAACGAAGCAAACGAGGGGAACUGAAACAUCUAAGUACCCUUAGGAAAAGAAAUCAACCGAGAUUCCCUUAGUAGCGGCGAGCGAACGGGGAGCAGCCCUUAAGCAUUGAAUGAGUUAGUGGAAGCCUCUGGGAAGUGGCGCGAUACCGGGUGACAGCCCCGUACACGACGGCAAAAUCAAUGUGAAAUCGAGUAGGUCGGGACACGUGUUAUCUUGACUGAAAAUGGGGGGACCAUCCUCCAAGGCUAAAUACUCCUAACUGACCGAUAGUGAACCAGUACCGUGAGGGAAAGGCGAAAAGAACCCCUGUGAGGGGAGUGAAAUAGAACCUGAAACCGUAUACGUACAAGCAGUGGGAGCACCUUCGUGGUGUGACUGCGUACCUUUUGUAUAAUGGGUCAGCGACUUAUAUUUGGUAGCAAGGUUAAGCGUAUAGCGGAGCCGUAGCGAAAGCGAGUGUUAACUGCGCGUUUAGUUGCCAGGUAUAGACCCGAAACCCGGUGAUCUAGCCAUGGGCAGGUUGAAGGUUGAGUAACAUCAACUGGAGGACCGAACUCACUGACGUUGAAAAGUCAGGAGAUGACUUGUGGCUGGGGGUGAAAGGCCAAUCAAACCGGGAGAUAGCUGGUUCUCCCCGAAAUCUAUUUAGGUAGAGCCUCGGACGAAUUCCAUUGGGGGUAGAGCACUGUUAAGGCUAGGGGGUCAUCCCGACUUACCAACCCUUUGCAAACUCCGAAUACCAUUGAGAACUAUCCGGGAGACACACGGCGGGUGCUAACGUCCGUCGUGGAGAGGGAAACAACCCAGACCGCCAGCUAAGGUCCCCAAAUAUUGCUAAGUGGGAAACGAUGUGGGAAGGCACAGACAGCUAGGAGGUUGGCUUAGAAGCAGCCAUCCUUUAAAGAAAGCGUAAUAGCUCACUAGUCGAGUCGGCCUGCGCGGAAGAUGUAACGGGGCUAAGCAAUAUACCGAAGCUGCGGCAAUGCGAUUUAUCGUAUUGGGUAGGGGAGCGUUGUGUAAGUGGAUGAAGGUGAACUGUAAGGUUUGCUGGACAUAUCACAAGUGCGAAUGCUGACAUGAGUAACGAUAAUGGGGGUGAAAAACCCCCACGCCGGAAGACCAAGGUUUCCUGUCCCAUGCUAAUCAGGGCAGGGUAAGUCGGCCCCUAAGGCGAGGCAGAAAUGCGUAGUCGAUGGGAAACGGGUUAAUAUUCCCGUACUUGUAUAAUCAGUGAUGGAGGGACGGAGAAGGCUAAGCAAGCAUGGCGUUGGUUGUCCAUGUGAAAGUGCGUAGGCUGAAAACUUAGGUAAAUCCGGGUUUUCAAGGCCGAGACACGAGACGAGCUCCCAAGGGAGUGAAGUUGUUGAUGCCCUGCUUCCAGGAAAAGCUUCUAAACGUAUGAUUAUGUGAACCGUACCCCAAACCGACACAGGUGGUCAGGUAGAGAAUACUAAGGCGCUUGAGAGAACUCGGGUGAAGGAACUCGGCAAAAUAGUACCGUAACUUCGGGAGAAGGUACGCCACCGGCGGUGAACGCUUUACGCGGUAAGCUGUUGGUGGUCGCAGUGACCAGGUGGCUGGGACUGUUUAUUAAAAACACAGCACUCUGCAAACUCGUAAGAGGACGUAUAGGGUGUGACACCUGCCCGGUGCCGGAAGGUUAAUUGAUGGGAUUAGCGUAAGCGAAGUUCUUGAUCGAAGCCCCGGUAAACGGCGGCCGUAACUAUAACGGUCCUAAGGUAGCGAAAUUCCUUGUCGGGUAAGUUCCGACCUGCACGAAUGGUGUAACCAUGGCCACGCUGUCUCCACCCGAGACUCAGUGAAAUUGAAAUCGCAGUGAAGAUGCUGUGUACCCGCACCUAGACGGAAAGACCCCGUGAACCUUUACUACAGCUUGGCACUGAACAUUGAACCUACUUGUGUAGGAUAGGUGGGAGGCUUUGAAAUGCAGACGCCAGUUUGCAUGGAGCCGUCCUUGAAAUACCACCCUGGUAUGUUUGAUGUUCUAACUUAGACCCCUUAUCGGGGUUAAGGACAGUGUCUGGUGGGUAGUUUGACUGGGGCGGUCUCCUCCCAAAUAGUAACGGAGGAGCACGAAGGUUAGCUAAUCACGGUCGGACAUCGUGAGGUUAGUGCAAUGGCAUAAGCUAGCUUAACUGCGAGACAGACACGUCGAGCAGGUACGAAAGUAGGUCAUAGUGAUCCGGUGGUUCUGUAUGGAAGGGCCAUCGCUCAACGGAUAAAAGGUACUCCGGGGAUAACAGGCUGAUACCGCCCAAGAGUUCAUAUCGACGGCGGUGUUUGGCACCUCGAUGUCGGCUCAUCACAUCCUGGGGCUGAAGUCGGUCCCAAGGGUAUGGCUGUUCGCCAUUUAAAGUGGUACGCGAGCUGGGUUUAGAACGUCGUGAGACAGUUCGGUCCCUAUCUGGUGUGGGCGUUGGAUGAUUGAUGGGAGCUGCUCCUAGUACGAGAGGACCGGAGUGGACGAACCGCUGGUGUUCGGGUUGUGAUGCCAAUCGCAUUGCCCGGUAGCUAUGUUCGGAACGGAUAACCGCUGAAAGCAUCUAAGCGGGAAGCCGGCCCAGAGAUGAGUCAUCCCUGAACUUUAAGUUCUGGAAGGGUUGUUUAAGACUAAGACGUUGAUAGGCAGGGUGUGGAAGCGUUGUAAGGCGUUAAGCUAACCUGUACUAAUUGCCCGAGAGGCUUAACCAUACAACCCAAAGCG